RNAcentral lists this ribosomal RNA (640 nucleotides) under Pseudoalteromonas sp. SDBC10. Its description in RNAcentral is "bacterial SSU rRNA". It matches the Rfam family "Bacterial small subunit ribosomal RNA", at positions 434 to 1068 of the family's 1533-position model. The record is from RNAcentral. Lineage: Bacteria; Pseudomonadati; Pseudomonadota; Gammaproteobacteria; Alteromonadales; Pseudoalteromonadaceae.
UUCAGUAAGGAGGAAAGGUUAAGUGUUAAUAGCACUUAGCUGUGACGUUACUUACAGAAGAAGCACCGGCUAACUCCGUGCCAGCAGCCGCGGUAAUACGGAGGGUGCGAGCGUUAAUCGGAAUUACUGGGCGUAAAGCGUACGCAGGCGGUUUGUUAAGCGAGAUGUGAAAGCCCCGGGCUCAACCUGGGAACUGCAUUUCGAACUGGCAAACUAGAGUGUGAUAGAGGGUGGUAGAAUUUCAGGUGUAGCGGUGAAAUGCGUAGAGAUCUGAAGGAAUACCGAUGGCGAAGGCAGCCACCUGGGUCAACACUGACGCUCAUGUACGAAAGCGUGGGGAGCAAACAGGAUUAGAUACCCUGGUAGUCCACGCCGUAAACGAUGUCUACUAGAAGCUCGACUCUUCGGAGUUGUUUUUCAAAGCUAACGCAUUAAGUAGACCGCCUGGGGAGUACGGCCGCAAGGUUAAAACUCAAAUGAAUUGACGGGGGCCCGCACAAGCGGUGGAGCAUGUGGUUUAAUUCGAUGCAACGCGAAGAACCUUACCUACACUUGACAUACAGAGAACUUACCAGAGAUGGUUUGGUGCCUUCGGGAACUCUGAUACAGGUGCUGCAUGGCUGUCGUCAGCUCGUGUUGU